GUCAGGAUGGCUGAGCGGUUUAAGGCGCUGCAAUCAGGAUGCGUGGGCGUGGGUUCGAAUCCCACUUCUGACA
Trichonephila clavipes is the source of this 73-nucleotide non-coding RNA. Lineage: Eukaryota; Metazoa; Arthropoda; Arachnida; Araneae; Nephilidae. The record is from the annotation of a GenBank genome assembly.